This 463-nucleotide ribosomal RNA is filed under the name uncultured bacterium. Its description in RNAcentral is "bacterial SSU rRNA". It matches the Rfam family "Bacterial small subunit ribosomal RNA", at positions 36 to 491 of the family's 1533-position model. The record is from RNAcentral.
GGCCGCGGGAAUUAGAUUCAGGCUUAACAUAUGCAAGUCGAGCGGUAACAGGUUAAGUUGACGAGUGGAAAAAGGGUGAGUAAUACAUUGAAACGUGCCCAGUAGUGGGGGAUAUCCCGGCGAAAGCCGCGAUUAAUACGGCAUGCGGCAUAAGGGUGAAAGGGGGGGAUCGCAAGACCUCUCGCUAUUGGAGCGGCCGAUGUCAGAUUAGGUAGUUGGUGGGGUAAAGGCCCACCAAGCCGAUGAUGUGUAGCUGGUCUGAGAGGACGUCCAGCCACACUGGGACUGAGACGCGGCCCAGACUCCUACGGGAGGCAGCAGUGGGGAAUUUUGGACAAUGGGCGCAAGCCUGAUCCAUCCAAGGCGCGUGCGGGAAGAAGGCCUUCGGGUUGUACUCUUAAUGGGUCAGGGAAGAAAUCCUUUGGGUUAAUACCUCGGGGGGAUGACGGUACCUAAGAAUAGC